UCCGGUUGAUCCUGCCGGACCCGACUGCUAUCGGGGUAGGGCUAAGCCAUGGGAGUCGAACGCCCUGCUGCUGCAGGGCGUGGCGCACGGCUGAGUAACACGUAGCUAACCUACCCUCAGGAGGGGGAUAACCUCACGGGAAACUGGGGCUAAUCCCCCAUAGGCGGGGAGGCCUGGAAGGGUUCCCCGCCGAAAGGGAGUAUAGGGGGUCACCACCUAUACUCCGCCUGAGGAUGGGGCUGCGGCCUAUCAGGCUGUUGGCGGGGUAACGGCCCGCCAAACCGAAGACGGGUAGGGGCCGUGAGAGCGGGAGCCCCCAGAUGGGCACUGAGACAAGGGCCCAGGCCCUACGGGGCGCACCAGGCGCGAAAACUCCGCAAUGCGGGAAACCGUGACGGGGCUACCCCGAGUGCCCUCCUUGUGGGGGCUUUUCCCCGCUGUAAACAGGCGGGGGAAUAAGCGGGGGGCAAGUCUGGUGUCAGCCGCCGCGGUAAUACCAGCCCCGCGAGUGGUCGGGGUGCUUACUGGGCCUAAAGCGGCCGUAGCCGGCCUGGCAAGUCUCCCCUGAAAGCCUCGGGCUCAACCCGAGGACCGGGGAGAUACUACCGGGCUAGGGGGCGGGAGAGGCCGAGGGUACUCCCGGGGUAGGGGCGAAAUCCUAUAAUCCCGGGAGGACCACCAGUGGCGAAGGCGCUCGGCUGGACCGCGCCCAACGGUGAGGGCCGAAAGCCGGGGGAGCGAACCGGAUUAGAUACCCGGGUAGUCCCGGCUGUAAACGAUGCGGGCUAGGUGUUAGGCGAGCGAAAGGGCUCGCCUAGUGCCACAGGGAAGCCGUUAAGCCCGCCGCCUGGGGAGUACGGCCGCAAGGCUGAAACUUAAAGGAAUUGGCGGGGGAGCACACAAGGGGUGGAGCCUGCCGGCUUAAUUGGAGUCACGCCGGGAAUCUUACCGGGGGCGACAGCAGGAUGACGGCCAGGUUAAAGGCCUUGCCCGACACGCUGAGGGGAGGUGCAUGGCCGUCGCCAGCUCGUGCCGUGAGGUGUCCUGUUAAGUCAGGCAACGAGCGCGACCCCCACCCCUAGUUGCUACCCUGGGGGAGACCCUGGGGGCAACUCUAGGGGGACUGCCGCCGCUAAGGCGGAGGAAGGAGGGGGCCACGGCAGGUCAGCAUGCCCCUAAUCCCCCGGGCUGCACGCGGGCUACAAUGGCGGGGACAGCGGGAUCCGACCCCGAAAGGGGGAGGCAAUCCCUUAAACCCCGCCGCAGUUGGGAUCGGAGGCUGAAACUCGCCUCCGUGAACGGGGAAUCCCUAGUACCCGCGCGUCAACAUCGCGCGGUGAAUACGUCCCUGCUUCUUGCACACACCGCCCGU
Molecule: ribosomal RNA, 1372 nt
Filed under: uncultured Aeropyrum sp.
Lineage: Archaea; Thermoproteati; Thermoproteota; Thermoprotei; Acidilobales; Acidilobaceae
Description: bacterial SSU rRNA
Rfam family: Archaeal small subunit ribosomal RNA
Source: RNAcentral